This 301-nucleotide ribosomal RNA is filed under the name uncultured bacterium. RNAcentral describes it as "partial 16S ribosomal RNA". It matches the Rfam family "Bacterial small subunit ribosomal RNA", at positions 509 to 807 of the family's 1533-position model. The record is from RNAcentral.
CAGCAGCCGCGGUAAUACGUAGGGUGCGAGCGUUAACCGGAAUUACUGGGCGUAAAGCGUGCGCAGGCGGUUGUGUAAGACAGGUGUGAAAUCCCCGGGCUCAACCUGGGAACUGCGCUUGUGACUGCACAGCUAGAGUAUGGCAGAGGGGGGUGGAAUUCCACGUGUAGCAGUGAAAUGCGUAGAGAUGUGGAGGAACACCGAUGGCGAAGGCAGCCCCCUGGGCCAAUACUGACGCUCAUGCGCGAAAGCGUGGGGAGCAAACAGGAUUAGAUACCCCCGUAGUCCCUGUCUCUUAUAC